CGACGAUCAGUAGGGGUUCUGAGAGGAUUAUCCCCCACACUGGUACUGAGACACGGACCAGACUCCUACGGGAGGCAGCAGUGAGGAAUAUUGGUCAAUGGGUGAGAGCCUGAACCAGCCAUCCCGCGUGCAGGAUGACGGCCCUAUGGGUUGNUAACUGCUUUUCUACGCCAAGAAAGGUCCCUACGUGUAGGGAAUUGACGGUAGCGUAGGAAUAAGCAUCGGCUAACUCCGUGCCAGCAGCCGCGGUAAUACGGAGGAUGCAAGCGUUAUCCGGAUUUAUUGGGUUUAAAGGGUGCGCAGGCGGGUUUUUAAGUCAGUGGUGAAAUACUGCCGCUUAACGGUAGAAUUGCCAUUGAAACUAGGAAUCUUGAGUGUGGUUGAGGUAGGCGGAAUGUGUAGUGUAGCGGUGAAAUGCAUAGAUAUUACACAGAACACCGAUUGCGGAGGCAGCUUACUAAGCCAUAACUGACGCUGAGGCACGAAAGCGUGGGGAGCGAACAGGAUUAGAUACCCUGGUAGUCCACGCUGUAAACGAUGUUCACUCGCUGUUUGCGAUACACAGUAAGCGGCUGAGCGAAAGCAUUAAGUGAACCACCUGGGGAGUACGAUCGCAAGGUUGAAACUCAAAGGAAUUGACGGGGGCCCGCACAAGCGGAGGAACAUGUGGUUUAAUUCGAUGAUACGCGAGGAACCUUACCUGGGCUUAAAUGUAGACUGCAUAGGAUGGAAACAUUCUUUCCCUUCGGGGCUGUUUACAAGGUGCUGCAUGGUUGUCGUCAGCUCGUGCCGUGAGGUGUCGGGUUAAGUCCCAUAACGAGCGCAACCCUUACCGUUAGUUGCCAACAGGUCAAGCUGGGGACUCUAGCGGGACUGCCACCGUAAGGUGAGAGGAAGGUGGGGAUGACGUCGAAUCAGCACGGCCCUUAUGUCCAGGGCUACACACGUGUUACAAUGGCCGGUACAGAGGGCAGCUACCACGCAAGUGGGUGCCAAUCCCGAAGCCGGGUCNCAGUUCGGAUUGGAGUCUGCAACCCGACUUCAUGAAGUUGGAUUCGCUAGUAAUCGCGC
RNAcentral lists this ribosomal RNA (1071 nucleotides) under uncultured organism. RNAcentral's name for it is "bacterial SSU rRNA". It matches the Rfam family "Bacterial small subunit ribosomal RNA", at positions 274 to 1347 of the family's 1533-position model. The record is from RNAcentral.